CUUUAUCGGAGAGUUUGAUCCUGGCUCAGGACGAACGCUGGCGGCGUGCCUAAUACAUGCAAGUCGAGCGGACAGAUGGGAGCUUGCUCCCUGAUGUUAGCGGCGGACGGGUGAGUAACACGUGGGUAACCUGCCUGUAAGACUGGGAUAACUCCGGGAAA
This 161-nucleotide ribosomal RNA is filed under the name Bacillus velezensis. Its description in RNAcentral is "partial 16S rRNA. Bacterial SSU". It matches the Rfam family "Bacterial small subunit ribosomal RNA", at positions 1 to 156 of the family's 1533-position model. The record is from RNAcentral. Lineage: Bacteria; Bacillati; Bacillota; Bacilli; Caryophanales; Bacillaceae.